AAGAUGAAACAGCAUGAUUAGAUAAGUGCCUAUUAGUUUAUCUUUAAUUAUAAUUUAAAACGUUAAUGCAAAGACUAAUUAUUUUAUUUCUUAGCUAGUCUGACUUGAUUUAUCGACUACAAGCACAUCGCUCAACUUAACAAACUCAAGUUCAAGAAACUCAAGUUCAAGUCUUCACUUCCCAGUUUUUUCAAAAAAGUAAAUAAAUAAAUUAUAGGCUAAGCUUUCAAUGGCAACAAACAGAAAUCGAUGGGCAUAGCAUGUGAGGAAGCCACCAAAAAAUAUUUAAAAAAAAUUGUCUGGUCUUUGCGGCUUGUAAGGGAUGGUCUCAGAUUACAAUUUACAAAUUCAUAGUUUUUGAAUUUGGCCACCUAUUUUAUUUUAAGGACAGGGUUGAGAUUCUAAUCUAAAAUUAAUUAGUUUAUUUAAAAAAUUAAAUAAAUAAAAUUAAUUUAGAAAAAAAAAUAUCAACGUUUGACUUCGAACUGAACUAACCACCAAUCAACGCUAGUAACAUGGAACGCAGGAAGGCCUCAAAGCAAUUGAUUUCUCACAAACUGGAGCUCAGAUGAGGCCAAAAAGCAUCUCCAGUUAGCAUAAAAAACGUAGAGAUUCAACAGUUGAAUAAGAGGCCAAAACAUCUCACGGGGCCAAUAUGGCAGAGCCCUUAGGCAUUCUAUGUCCAUUUAGAAACUAGGACUUUCAGCAAGUAUAGGUGUUCCUAGGGUACCAUACCCAUAAAAUCAAACCCCUAGAGCAGAGUCACCGCAAACACAACAUAGACAGCAUAGCUAUCACCACAGUUGCUCCAAAUCGAGAGACCCCCUGCAUGCAGUCACAACACCACAGAGAACGUCUAUCUCCGGGCUCCCUCUCUAGUGGAAAGCACAACUAGCAACCCAAUCAACAAAAGAUCCUACCAUUUACAAUCUUAUCCAGAGGUGGAGGGAAGGAAACCCACUUUCGAGCAAGGACGAUUGCCAUCCCCUACCUGGAUAGGGUAGGGGACAGCCACACAGAGGCAGUGAAACGAGUAAGUCGCCUAUGGAAGGGAAGAAUAGAACAAGAGAAAAAAGAAAGUUUGCGGCUCUGCCAAAAUAGCUAUUGUAAUUGAGAAUUAUAAAUGGUAGAUAGGCUCUAUAUGCACUCCAAUUGCAUCAAGAUAGUAACCACACCUUCCAUGGAACCCAGUGACCUUGUCACCAGCCGAUGCCAGUGAAAAGUGAUUUCCCUUGUUUAAGCCAAAUGGUCCAUAGGUUUUUCUGUUGCUUUGAAAUGUAAGAGACUGCACAAUCUCUAAACCAUAUUCCUUGCCGUAGGUUCCUGAAACCGAAAUCAGAAACUCACCUGGAUAAUCCAAUAUGACCUUUUUCAACAUGCCUUGAGCUUUUGAUCCAUGUUUUGGAGACGAUACAGGUUGUCCAUUUUUAUCAUACUCAAAACGGACAGAUUCAAUUCCAAAUUCACAAAUUGUUAGUUGUAUCUGUCUUAUUGCGCUGUAAAAUUGAUCAUCCCAUGCAUCUCCACCUUGGCCUCCAAACGGGCCAAGAACAACUGGUGAGAUUGCUUUGACGUGUACUCCUAUUGAAGUGAGAUAGCCAUAAGCCGAACCAUGAAAUCCAAUGAUCUUGCCAUGCAAAGAUGGUGUUGAGAAAGGGAUUCCUCUCAUAGUACCAAAAGGUCCAUACGUUCUUCUAUUGCUUUGAAUUGUAAGAGAACAUAUAUAUUUAUUAUUAGUAAAUGAGCCAUAAUAUCCUGAGAUUGAAACCAAGUACUCACCAGGGUAGUCAAGUUUGACCUGCAAGAUCACAAUCAAAACUCACUAGAAUUUGUAUGGUAAUCAGAUUAUUAAACCCUGUUAACUUUUGAUAGAUAAUUCAUCAAAAUAAUAUUUACAAGGACCAUUAAAAAUUUGAAAAUUUUAAUGGACUAACCAUGUAUUUACUGCCUCCAUUGCUACUACCACGCUUUUGAGACCAUAGAGAGCGACCAUGCUUAUCAUACUCAACAUGCAAGGAAUCAACUAUGGAUCCAGCUCCUAUGAUCAAUUGCCUUAUUGUAGUGUGAAUUCCAUCGUCCCAAUGCUGUCCUUGUCCUCCACAUUGUUCACAAGUUUGGUACUGAUAUGACAUUGGAAUUGGCUUUAAAUACACUCCAAUAGAGUGAAGAUAAUCACCACAUGUUCCAUGAAAUCCUAUUAUUUUUCCAUAUGCUAUAGAUGAAAGCGAGAAUUCAUGGUUUCCUUUCCCACUACCAAAGGGUCCAUAUGUUUUUUUGUUGCUUUGGAAUGAAAGUGAUUGAAUUAUGGUGGAACUAGCAUUUGUACUGUAUGAGCCUGAAAGUGAAAUGAGGAACUCUUCUGGGUAAUCAAGUUUGAUCGUGUAUGUCUUGUCUCCAAUGCUCUGCCCACGCUUUGAAGACCAUAAAGAGUGUCCAUUCUUGUCAUAAUCAAUGCAAACAUAGUUGACCAUAGAUCCACAAGAAAUUACCAAUUGCCUAAUUGUAGUUUGCACUCCAUCAUCCCAUGGGUCACCACCUUGACCUCCAAAUGGCCCAAUGAAUUCAGAUGGUUUUGGAUAUGAGAUUGGCUCCACAUGUGCCCCAAUUGCAUAGAGAUAGCCACUGGAUCUUCCAUGGAAUCCUAAAAUCUUGCCAUCAAAUGAUGGAAAGCAGAUAUACGUACCAAAUUGUUGACCAAAUGGUCCAUAAGUUCUUCGGUUGCUUUGAAAUGUUAGUGAUGUAAAUUCGUAAUUGUUCAUUUCAUUAACAGAGUCGUAGUAACCAGUAACUGAAGUUAGAAACUCAUCUGGGAAAUCAAGUUUGAUCGUAUCAAUUUUGGAUUCAUAAUCUCCACCAUGGAGAGUGGACCACACUAGUGAACCACCAUCAUUGUAGUAUUCAGUAGAGAUGGAACUAACAAAAUUUCCAUGCGCUAUUCUUAUUUGCUUUAUGGCAGAAUGAAUUUCAUCAUCCCAUGAUAAAGCAUUCCCUGCACCAAAUGGACCAACAGUUUUCACCAUAUACAGAUCUGAGGUAGGCUCUAAAUGUCCACCUAUUGAAUAUAGAUGGGCACCACACUUGCCAUGAAAACCAAUAAUUUUUCCCUCAGUUGGAGGGAAAGAAAAGUACUUUCCUUUUUCUACACCAAAAGGUCCAUAAACUCGUCUGUUAGUAUGGACAUUAAGUGACUGAACCACAAUAGGAGAAGAGUUUGCACCAUGGUAUCCUGAUAUUGAAGUCACAUACUCAUCUGGGUAAUCUAGUUCAACCACAUUUGUGUUGCCUCCAUUGUUUCCUCCAUGCCUAGAAGAUGAUACUAAGCUCCCAUCUUUGUCGUACUCAAUAAGAAUGGAGUUGAUUAUUGAUUCAGAUGCCACAAUUAUUCGCCUUAUAGUAGUGUACACCCCAUCGUCCCAAGAAAUUCCAGUGUUGCCUCCAAAUGGACCAAUAGAUUUGAAAGGAUGAAUUGGCUCCACAUGUACUCCAAUUGAUUUAAGGUAAGGACCAACACUCCCAAAGAACCCAACAAUCUUGCCAGCAGUAGAUGGAACCAAAAAAUAGUUGCCUCCUUUAGUGCCAAAUGGUCCAAAUUCUCUUUUAUUGCUUUUUACAUAUAAUGAAGAGAUAAAAAUAUGACCCGUGUAUACAUUAUAGUGACCUGAGAUAGAGGUCAGAUACUCAUCCGGAUAAUCUAGUUUUAUCUCAUGGGCACUUCCACCAAAAUGGCCAUUUGCCUCAGACCACAAAGAGCACCCAUUCUCAUCAUACUCUACAGUUAUGCAGUCAACAAUCAUUCCAGAUCUUAUAAUCAAUUGUCUAACUGUGGUAUGAGCUCCAUGAUCCCAUAAAUUCCCAGUCCCACCUCCAAAUGGCCCAGCAAUUAACGUCUUCUUCAUGAAGCUCAAAUGCUGUCUUUAUGUCUAGUAGGUCUGUGGUUCUUCCCUUGUAGGAAACAAAAGCAUUAAAACUUUGAUAUGCUAUGUCUACCCAUCUCCUAUGGGAUACCUACAAGUAGUAAGAAAAAUACUCUCAAUAACAAGAAAUAAUAAAAGUAGUAAUUUAAAAGUUACAAGUACGCUUGGUUCCAUAACACUUUCAUAUACGCGCGUUACUGCAACAAUCAAAACAUAGUCAUGCCACUCAUAUCACUUUCAACAUGUUAGAUCGCAAUCCCAAACACAUAUCACACUCCAAAAUGACUUUCAUAGUUAAUAUUAAGAAUCUCCGUAUUAAGGUGCACUUUCACUUCCUUGCACUCAUUUCUACUAUCCUUUUUGUCAUUACAUAUUCAUUCUUACACUAAAAAUAGUCAUCCACACACAUUCGGUUUACCAUUUUGGGUCUCAAUGUCAAUUUUUUUUUUUUUUCCAUACAUUUAGGAUAAUCAUGAGCCAAUCUAGCAAGUUGACAAAAAAGAACUAAUUGUUUGCAAAUAAGGUUAUCUAUAUUCUUAGUUAAUUCAGUCCACAAGUUUUUGGUUCAUUAUCUCAUCCUUUUCUAAGGAUUUACAGAACAUAAAUAACAUGGUGAGUCAUCAAGACCCAAUUUCAUAUAUUCAUUACGGUAACACUAAGCAGAACUUGGAAAUUUAUCCAUCAUUCAAGAUUAAGCAAACAUGGUAAAGGAAGCAACACAUUUAUGCAAAAUAUCACUAGAGCAUAAUUGCUUAACAGAGGGCAGCAAAGUUGCUAAACAAAAGUGCAGCGAAGCUACCAGAACAAAAGGCAGCUGAGCUACAAAUAAGAGGAGUAGCAGAGAUACCAAAAUAGAGGGCAGCAGAGCUAUAGAUCAGAGGUAUAGUGAAACUUGCUAUCAAAGUCAAAGCUGGUAAUUGUACUACCUUUUGGUCACUUCCAUCAAUUCAUUACUAGUAGACGAGCUACUUAUCACUACCUCUACUCUGUGCAUAAGGACAUUGUGGCUUUUGUAACCAUUCAUAUCACUUUGUUAUACAAUUUCAUUUCUGUUUUCAGGAAUGGUUCGUAAGAUCAUCUUACUCUAAAAGUAGAACAUUACAGACAGUCCUUAUUUUAGGCAUCAAAAAUAUAAUUCUUGUCCUUGUAUGAUUUCCUAAAGUCAAGAUUAAGGACGCGCCUAAGGCGCAAGGCGACCCCAACUCCCGACACAACGCCUUGAAGCUCUCCAGGCAGGUAAUCUUAAUGAGGCGAACCCAGGCAGCCGAGGCGCAAGGCACCCCAGCCACAUCAGGCACAAGAAACCCAUUUUCUUUAGACUAUC
RNAcentral lists this unclassified non-coding RNA (5238 nucleotides) under Hevea brasiliensis (rubber tree). Lineage: Eukaryota; Viridiplantae; Streptophyta; Magnoliopsida; Malpighiales; Euphorbiaceae. The record is from RNAcentral.